GUACACGCUGUGACUAGCAUAUCAAUAAGCGGAGGAAAAGAAACUAACAAGGAUUCCCCUAGUAACGGCGAGUGAAGCGGGAAGAGCUCAAAUUUGAAAUCUUAAAGGGUUUCCCUUUACGAAUUGUAGUUUAAAGAAGUGUUUUCUGUUGAGGUUUUGGUAAAAGUUCUUUGGAAUAGGACAUCAUAGAGGGUGAGAAUCCCGUAUUUGACCUUUACUUUCAACUUUGUGAUACACUUUCAAAGAGUCGGAUUGUUUGGGAAUGCAGUCCAAAAUGGGUGGUAAAUUUCAUCUAAAGCUAAAUAUUGGCGAGAGACCGAUAGCGAACAAGUACCGUGAGGGAAAGAUGAAAAGAACUUUGAAAAGAGAGUUAAACAGUACGUGAAAUUGUCAAAAGGGAAGCGUUUGACACCAGUGUUGUUUUUCUGAAAAUCAAUUAAAGAACUGUUUAUGCUAAGCUGUUUAGACUUUAUCAGCUAUCUGUUUAGUCUUGAGCUUUUCUUUAAUGCACUUUUCAGUUAACAAGUCAACAUCAAUUUCUUUUGCUGUAAAAAAGCUUGAGGAAGGUGGCUUGAGAUUCGUCUUAAGUGUUUAUAGCCUCUUGCCUAUGCAGUCGGAGAGAUUGAGGUCUGCAGCGUAGAUCCUUCGGGGCUAAAUGCAUUUGUGCUAAGUUAUAGCAUUUUAUAGACAACUUGUUGACUAUGAUUUGUCUUGUAGCUUACUCGCUUAUGUUAUUUUACCUACGCUUAGGAUGUUGAAGAUGUAGCACAUCAU
This 774-nucleotide ribosomal RNA is filed under the name uncultured Neocallimastigales. Its description in RNAcentral is "partial large subunit ribosomal RNA". It matches the Rfam family "Eukaryotic large subunit ribosomal RNA", at positions 22 to 639 of the family's 3401-position model. Lineage: Eukaryota; Fungi; Neocallimastigomycota; Neocallimastigomycetes; Neocallimastigales. The record is from RNAcentral.